CCCAUUCCGAACACGGUAGUUAAGCUCGCUCGUGCCGAAAAUACUUGGUUGGUAACGACCCGGGAAAAUAGGUCAAUGCUGACA
Molecule: ribosomal RNA, 84 nt
Filed under: Clostridiales bacterium GWF2_36_10
Lineage: Bacteria; Bacillati; Bacillota; Clostridia; Eubacteriales
Source: RNAcentral